CAACUUUCACAACAACGGAUCUCUUGGCUCUUGCAUUCGAUGAAGAACGCAGCGAAAUGCGAUAAGUAAUGUGAAUUGCAGAAUUCCGUGAAUCAUCAAAUCUUUGAACGCAAAUUGGCACUCUUUGGUAUUCCGGAGGAGUAUGCUUGCUUGAGGGUUGUU
Molecule: ribosomal RNA, 162 nt
Filed under: uncultured Acaulospora
Lineage: Eukaryota; Fungi; Glomeromycota; Glomeromycetes; Diversisporales; Acaulosporaceae
Description: 5.8S ribosomal RNA
Rfam family: 5.8S ribosomal RNA
About the family: 5.8S ribosomal RNA (5.8S rRNA) is a component of the large subunit of the eukaryotic ribosome. It is transcribed by RNA polymerase I as part of the 45S precursor that also contains 18S and 28S rRNA.
Source: RNAcentral